CGCGUGGGAAUAUACCCUUUGGUACGGAAUAGCCUCUGGAAACGGAGAGUAAUACCGUAUGAGCCCUUCGGGGGAAAGAUUUAUCGCCAAAGGAUUAGCCCGCGUUAGAUUAGGUAGUUGGUGGGGUAAUGGCCUACCAAGCCUACGAUCUAUAGCUGGUUUUAGAGGAUGAUCAGCAACACUGGGACUGAGACACGGCCCAGACUCCUACGGGAGGCAGCAGUGGGGAAUCUUGGACAAUGGGGGCAACCCUGAUCCAGCCAUGCCGCGUGAGUGAUGAAGGCCUUAGGGUCGUAAAGCUCUUUCGCCUGUGAAGAUAAUGACGGUAGCAGGUAAAGAAACCCCGGCUAACUCCGUGCCAGCAGCCGCGGUAAUACGGAGGGGGUUAGCGUUGUUCGGAAUUACUGGGCGUAAAGCGCACGUAGGCGGACUGGAAAGUUGGGGGUGAAAUCCCGGGGCUCAACCCCGGAACUGCCUCCAAAACUAUCAGUCUAGAGUUCGAGAGAGGUGAGUGGAAUUCCAAGUGUAGAGGUGAAAUUCGUAGAUAUUUGGAGGAACACCAGUGGCGAAGGCGGCUCACUGGCUCGAUACUGACGCUGA
Molecule: ribosomal RNA, 600 nt
Filed under: Rhodobacteraceae bacterium N1mML9
Lineage: Bacteria; Pseudomonadati; Pseudomonadota; Alphaproteobacteria; Rhodobacterales; Paracoccaceae
Description: bacterial SSU rRNA
Rfam family: Bacterial small subunit ribosomal RNA
Source: RNAcentral